UAACAUUUUUUUUUUCUUAGCUGGCUUUUUUAGCGUCCAAGGAAGCUGUCAAGGAAGGCAAAAAAUCAUACUUGAAUAAGCCGUCACAUGGUGGACACAAACGGUCCAAGAAGCUGUGCAUCUUCACUCCCGACAGAGAAUACUGUGUCGCGCAGAUGAAGGGACUCUGAAUAUUACAAUCGUUUACAAUUUGGGCUAUUUCUUGGCGUUAUGAAAUCAAAUUAAUAAAUAUUUUUUAGAAUACAAUCGAUUUUUUAAUUA
Long non-coding RNA from Cydia pomonella (codling moth), 261 nucleotides. RefSeq lists it as uncharacterized. Lineage: Eukaryota; Metazoa; Arthropoda; Insecta; Lepidoptera; Tortricidae. The record is from RefSeq and is a predicted model, not a curated record. The transcript has 4 exons.